AUUUAGUUAGUAGGUAGGCUAAACGGUUUUUAAAUGUGUGCUAUAUCAGUACUUGUUAAGUAUUAAGUUUGGCUAGAAAAGCAAGAUGUGGUUUUGGGAACUGCAGCGUAGAGUGGUUUAGUUUUGGAAGCCUGUAUUCUGUCAUGCAGAGGCAGUUAGAAUUGGUCUCUGAGUAAAGAGAAUCUCUUUCAAGUACCUUGGGCCCAAUGUGAUUGAAUGCCACAAUCCUAAUAUAUCGGUAAGUAUUAAUUACAUCACUUUACUGUAGUACCUAUCCAGCCUAUAUUGCCCUUUCAUUUCUUUGAUAGGAAAGGUUCAUAAUACUUGAAUGGAGCUCGAUUGGAGAAUUUUGGGAGUGAAAUCCUUUUAAUCUAUUCAAGAUAAAGUGAGAUUUAUGGAGAGCAGUGUGGUAUAGUGGUUAAAGCAUGGGUCAGGAGACUUGGAUUCCAUCUUGGUUCUGCCACGGAGAUUAUAGGCAUACCAUGAGUAAAUUGCUUCCCUUCUCUGUGCCCCUGUUUUUCACUCCUAACCCCCUUUGCCAUGUCUGCUUAAAUUGUGGUUUCUUCUGCCCCUGGUGUAUCUGUGUACCGCAGCCCAGCACAAUAGAGUCUUAUCUUGUUUGAGUCCCCCAUUUGUUACCAACAUGCUGAAGAUCAUCAAAGGUGUGUAUAGACAGCACUGCAAGCAUCAUUUGGUGGGAGAUACCUUUAUUCCCUCCUUGCCAACAGAAGUGCUAACUCGUUCCAAUUAUAAUGGCACUUUUUGGUGAGAUGAACAUCUGUCACUGGGAAACAGGAGAGAAAUCAGCGGACUCAUUUCACAUAUGCCAUCAAGAAGCCAUUUGAAGGGAACAGCUUUCAGCUACAAAUAUCAGCUAGGCUAAAAUUGAACCCACUGCCUACAGGUGAAAGGCUCUAUAAAGCUUUACUAAUCCCCAGAGCCAUUCUAUCCCACUUAUAGGGUAUACUACAUUUAGUUUAAAUCACAUAGUCUUAGCCUCUUCUGGUUUGACAGCAUUUAAAUGUAGUAAACCUUUUCUCUUUCUCUUUUUCCUCUAAUUAUCUGCAGCAUUUGUUCCUCCUUAGGGAUUUUCCACUUUUUUUUGUUGCUUUAUACACUCCAUUCCCCCAGUUCCUUGUUCAUUCCCUGUAUUCCAUCCCACCUUUUCUCUUCCUCCCUGGUUUGAUAUAGCAUCUCACUGGUCCUGCUUCACACUAAGAGAAGGGGUAUUAGAUGGAGUCCCCAUAGAGUAUAAAUUGAACAGAGAGAAGUGGCUGGUUUCCCAGCAAUAAUUUAUCUGAUUAAAAAAUGUUCCCCACCCCCACUUCCCUCCUAGCCCUAAACCCCCUCAAAAAAAAGAAAAAGGAGAACCUUGGCAUCCAGGCUACUAUUUGAACUAUAUUAUUCAAAUUGCUUGAAGGGGGAUUUAGACGGAAAAAUAACUGUCGAAAGAUGGCUCUCCAGGGAAACAGCAUUAGCUCUGGAAUUUGGAAUAGGAGUUGUUGUGUGAAGAAGUGCAGAAAACGUAAAUAGUUCUGAGUCAAGUACCUCUGUGAUCUCCAACUCUGCUGUUGCUCUCCUUUUAAAAAUUUAUAUAAAAAAAUACACCAGUAGGCAGUGAAACAACAGUAAAGAAAGUAUUCCCUGAUCAAUAGUCAGCUUCUCUCUCUUUUUUUCUCCAUGCUUAGUGCAGGGUUCAGUCCAACUAAGAUCAAAACUCCAGUUCAUAAAGUACUUGUCUCCCUGUGUGUCACCUGGACAGGUUUUGUUGCCUCCUCCUCAGUACACUGGGGGGUCCCUGUUUCUUUGCCUUUCAAAAUCUUGGUUACUGGUACUUUAUUCAGAGACUGAAUCAACUCUGCAUGAUGGUUUCUGGGCCAGUGGGUGAAAUGCUGCCACGCCAGCUCUAAUCCUGAGUUUUGAACCUCAGGGUAAUCUCAACCAACUCACCAGUACUCAGUUCGUUAAAGUUGCUGCUGGCCAGCUCCUCUUGUGUCACCGUGGUUCCUCAGCAAGCACCAUGCUGGGAAGUCCCAGAGGCAGGGAAGACCUGCUGCAUUAUUGAAAUGUUCAUGCCAACACAGGAAGAUUCAUUAUUAAGUAGAUUCUGCAUUAUUACACGGUGCUCCUGACAAGCACCCUAACGCUACCCCAUAGGACAGCUCCACAAUCCAUCAUGACUGUCUGGGAUCUGUGACAACCCAGAGUGAUACGUGCUGGGUCAUCAGAACAGAGUAGGAGCAGCACAGCGUGACUUCAGGAGCCUAAAAAUAGGUACAAUAAUUUUUGAGCUGAAGGCUUUCUCCCCACCCCCUUCCUCCCCCAGCCCUUGCCAUUUGGUAUACUCAGCACAUAAUUGUCAAGAUAACUUAAAAAAAACACAAAACGCAUCUCCCUAUAGAAAUGAGCAUGUUUAUUAGUAGACAUUGUCGCUUUGGUGGCAGGAUGAGUUAUGGUAUUGCACACUGAAAUAACUCCACGUGACUUCCAGUGACACAAUGCCUUACAGGUUUUCUGUGAGCAGUGGGCGUGGAAAGGAGCGCUAGUCAUCUGCCUCGCUAUGGGGUGAAGAAUCAGAUACGGCCAGAGACAUGCUAUAAAAUGAGGAGCCAAAUUCCUUUUUGCUGGAUGGCUGCUCAAGUACUUGGAGUCACUGUGAAUUGACUGAUUGAGCUGUGAAUAUAGCGCGUUAUAUUUUUCCUCUAGAUUGUUUCUUCCCUUUAUUCUGUUACUCUGUAAAUCUCAUUCGUACUUACCACACUUUUUUUUUUUUUUUUAAAGUUUACUCAUUGGACUAUGUGCUAGACCCAGUCUCUGCCAAGCCUAAAUAAACUGCAUUUAUAAAGGAACCCUGAUUAUUCUGGACAGGAGGGGUUUGAUUCACAGAAGUGGUAUUCUUUGAAAAGGUCUGUUCCUUUGGUAGUGACUUGUUUGAAAUAGAUUCUACUUUACUGUGCCUGUUAAGCUGUUCUCAAGGCCACACAAAGGAGGAAGGAUUGUAUAAGGCUGUAUAAAUCAAAGUUUGUUAUAGGAAUGUCAAACACUGCAGCACACUGGUGUGUUAAUAGCAAGCAGACAAGAAGUGUGGUAGUAGUCAGAGACAGUUAGCAGAAGCAAUGAAGCUAGAGAGUCCAAUUCUCAAAGCUGUCUACAACAGCUGGGUCCAGCAGACCCAGAUGUAAUUCUGUUGCUGCUGUGGGGAGACUGACCAACCCCCACAGCACAUUGUUAAAGGACUCCAGUGGUCAGAUGGGAAGGGCCUGGGGCUGUCUUUCUGGUCUAAAUCGCUACCAUUAGAUAGGCUCUAGAAAUGAUGCGAUGGGGCAGAUGUUCAUCUCACCAAAAAGUUCCAUUAUAAUUGGAAUUAGUUAGCACCUGUUCUGCUCUCACUAAGACAGAAAUCACUCUAUGGAAGUCACUGGAGAUGUAGUGGGGUGAACUAGUGAGAGGGUAAUUGGGACCCUGAGCAGAAGAUGGUAAGGUGACCCUGUCUGAGGUUCUCUCUGGUUAGUUCAUUUUGCCACUAAGAUCAAAUGUAGUAUGAUCCAACAGCCUGGGACCCCGGCAAUGAGAGUGUCCUGUGUGCCUGCUGCGUCUCCUGCUGCUACGCCAAGCAGAUGCGCUGCCUCAUGGUGUCCAACACGAUCUGCUGGUCCUGCAACAUCUACGUAGAGCACAUCACGGGCUAUCACCAAUACACCAACCCCACCAGACCAACCGCCACCGGACCAGACCCAGAGGGGGCCACCUGAACCCCCCUCUGAACCUAAUGGACUCCAAGAGGAACCUUCAACAAUGGACCACCCCGCUGUACCCAAAGAGGACCCCCGCGAUGAGACUCUAUAUGGACUGAGACUCUUUCACCAACCCACUUCCUCCACCAUUGCGGAUCAUUGUACGGGUUUGUGUGCAUCUAUCUUCUUUCUCUCUCAGCGUCGCAAACCCCCUGCCUCCCCUUCCCCCACCCCCUCCUUUGCCCCUGGGCUUAGUUGGCUAAUAUUGUAUGUUCUGUAACCUAGUUGCAUUCCCCUCCUCACCGCCAUCCCUCUAAUGUUACUUCCUCACUCUGGUAAUCUGUAUUUCCCUACUGGCUUUGUCAUCUUUUUGGUUCAUGACUCUUAAUAUCCACUAAUAAAAUUCACUCUGUUCUUAUCUCCUC
Molecule: long non-coding RNA, 4159 nt
Organism: Alligator mississippiensis (American alligator)
Lineage: Eukaryota; Metazoa; Chordata; Crocodylia; Alligatoridae
Exons: 4
Source: RefSeq, a predicted model, not a curated record